Molecule: ribosomal RNA, 608 nt
Filed under: uncultured bacterium
Lineage: Bacteria
Description: bacterial SSU rRNA
Rfam family: Bacterial small subunit ribosomal RNA
Source: RNAcentral
UGAUCAUGGCUCAGAAUGAACGCUGGCGGCAUGGCUAAGACAUGCAAGUCGAACGAACUAUCCAUUUAUGAAUAGUUAGUGGCGAAAGGGUGAGGAAUAAAUAGGUAACGUACCCCGUGUUUCAGAAUAGCGUCUAGGUGCUUGCACCUUUCCGAAAGGGGCAGUAAUGCUGAAUAAUAUCACGGAUUUAAUGUCUAUGAUCAAAGAUUUAUCGACAUGGGAGCGGCCUAUUUCCUAUCAGCUAGUUGGUGAGGUAAUGGCUCACCAAGGCGACGACGGGUAGCGGGACUGAGAGGUUGGCCCGCCACAUCGGGACUGAGACACUGCCCGGACCUCCACGGAGGGCUGCAGUAACGAAUAUUGGGCAAUGGGCGAAAGCCUGACCCAGCAAUGCCGCGUGUAGGAUGAAGCCCCUCGGGGUGUAAACUAUUGUCAGGGACUAGAAAGCUACGGUUGAUCAGUCCCAAAGGAAGUCACGGCUAACUUCGUGCCAGCAGCCGCGGUAAUACGAAGGUGGCAAGCGUUAUUCGAAAUCACUGGGCUUAAAGGGCGCGUAGGCGGACAUACAAGUGUCUUGUGAAAUCCCCCGGCUUAACCGGGGAAUUGCU